UCGAUAUGGGGUUCCAUAGAACUGUUGGGCUGGUCGCCUGUGCGAUCGUGUUCGCUGUUGUAGCGGACGUCGCCUACGGACAAAAGGGUGACGGUGGAAACAAGCCAACGCCACCACUAACGAAACCAACGAAACCUACGAAGCCGGCGCAUCUUGGGAAACCCACCAAACCUACCAAACCAACGCCACCUACGGGAGCAAACAAACCAACGCCACCUACGA
Rhipicephalus sanguineus (brown dog tick) is the source of this 222-nucleotide long non-coding RNA. RefSeq lists it as uncharacterized. The transcript is spliced from 3 exons. NCBI's taxonomy places the organism in Eukaryota, Metazoa, Arthropoda, Arachnida, Ixodida, Ixodidae. The record is from RefSeq and is a predicted model, not a curated record.